AGUCGAGCGGAUGACGGGAGCUUGCUCCUUGAUUCAGCGGCGGACGGGUGAGUAAUGCCUAGGAAUCUGCCUGGUAGUGGGGGACAACGUUUCGAAAGGAACGCUAAUACCGCAUACGUCCUACGGGAGAAAGCAGGGGACCUUCGGGCCUUGCGCUAUCAGAUGAGCCUAGGUCGGAUUAGCUAGUAGGUGAGGUAAUGGCUCACCUAGGCGACGAUCCGUAACUGGUCUGAGAGGAUGAUCAGUCACACUGGAACUGAGACACGGUCCAGACUCCUACGGGAGGCAGCAGUGGGGAAUAUUGGACAAUGGGCGAAAGCCUGAUCCAGCCAUGCCGCGUGUGUGAAGAAGGUCUUCGGAUUGUAAAGCACUUUAAGUUGGGAGGAAGGGCAGUAAGCUAAUACCUUGCUGUUUUGACGUUACCGACAGAAUAAGCACCGGCUAACUCUGUGCCAGCAGCCGCGGUAAUACAGAGGGUGCAAGCGUUAAUCGGAAUUACUGGGCGUAAAGCGCGCGUAGGUGGUUCGUUAAGUUGGAUGUGAAAGCCCCGGGCUCAACCUGGGAACUGCAUCCAAAACUGGCGAGCUAGAGUAUGGUAGAGGGUGGUGGAAUUUCCUGUGUAGCGGUGAAAUGCGUAGAUAUAGGAAGGAACACUAGUGGCGAACGCGACCACCUGGACUGAUACUGACACUGAGUGCGAAAGCGUGGGGAGCAAACAGGAUUAGA
RNAcentral lists this ribosomal RNA (726 nucleotides) under uncultured bacterium. RNAcentral describes it as "bacterial SSU rRNA". It matches the Rfam family "Bacterial small subunit ribosomal RNA", at positions 60 to 782 of the family's 1533-position model. The record is from RNAcentral.